UCCACAAAGCAGGUCUCAAUCAUGAGCAACCUAACCCUACUCUCCUCUUCCAUUUCCAGACAUCACAGGAAAAGAACCCUGGGUAUGACCCACUACCAGAGGAUAUCAGGAUGAAUAAAAUAAGACUGUGGACCCCAAGAAGUUGGUUGCCUUGUGGGGAAAACAACACUACUGAAAACCAGAAGGCAGUGAAGCAAUGCCUGGCCUAAGGAUGAAGCCAGCUCUGAGGAAGACAGAGUGAAAAGACAAAAAGAAAG
RNAcentral lists this long non-coding RNA (257 nucleotides) under Mustela putorius furo (domestic ferret). Its description in RNAcentral is "lncRNA (ENSMPUG00000025977.1)". Lineage: Eukaryota; Metazoa; Chordata; Mammalia; Carnivora; Mustelidae. The record is from RNAcentral.